Non-coding RNA from Picea glauca (white spruce), 129 nucleotides. The record is from Rfam. NCBI's taxonomy places the organism in Eukaryota, Viridiplantae, Streptophyta, Pinopsida, Pinales, Pinaceae.
UCUUAUGUACAUACCUACAACAUAGCGUUAAUGUAUUGGAUCCCAUUAGAACUCUGUAGUUAAGCACGCUUGGAAUAGAGUAGCAUUGGGAUGGGUGACCUCCCGGGAAGUCCUAUUGUUUUACAUGCC